UCACCUGUUUUUCAAAAACAUGUCUUAAAGAAUAAUAAUUUUAAGUCAAAUCUGCUCAAUGAUUAUUUUAAAUAGCUGCAGUAUAAAUAACUGUACUAAGGUAGCAUAAUAAAUAGUUUUUUAAUUGAAAACUAGAAUGAAUGAUUUAAUGAAAAAUAAACUGUUUCAAAUUUAUUAAAUAAAUUUAUUCUUUAAGUAAAAAAAUUUAAAUAAAUUUUAAAGACGAGAAGACCCUAAAGAAUUUUGAUAAUUUUUUUUAAUAUUAUUUUAUAAAAAAUUAUUUUAAUUGGGGAAAUUUUAAAAUUUAAUAAAUUUUUAAUUAAAUUUAAAACAUUUAUUUUUGAAUAAAUUUUAUUUUUUAAAAAAAUAAAUUUAAAUUACCUUAGGGAUAACAGCAUAAUUUUUUUAUAAAGUUCUAAUUAAUAAAAAAGUUUAUGACCUCG
Molecule: ribosomal RNA, 443 nt
Filed under: Dolichogenidea sp. 3 SY-2020
Lineage: Eukaryota; Metazoa; Arthropoda; Insecta; Hymenoptera; Braconidae
Description: partial large subunit ribosomal RNA
Source: RNAcentral